CUUGUCGUUUCCCAUUUUGCCCCUCCCUCGCCUCACUCACUCGCGAUUCCCCUCCUCUCCUCACUCACUCUGAAAUCCCUAGCUCGCCCGCGCCGCUCUUCCUCUGGCCCGCGCCGCUCUCCCUCUCGCCCACGCCGCUCUCCCUCUGGCCCGUGCCGUUCUCCCUCUCACCCACGCGGCUUGCCUGCGUCUACGUCGCCGCUUCUCCCUUUCGCCCGCGCCGCCUCUCCCUCUCGCCGGCUUCGCAUGCGCCACCUUCUCCUGCUCAAGCCAAAGCUGGCUUUUUUACUGAAGUCCAGGAAGAGCAGCAGUAGUGCGGGGCAGACAGCCUUGUCCUGCUCGACGACGGUGGCAGCGUUCUCCGGCUCGACGACGGCGGCGACAAACGCUAGCGCUCCUCGUCUUCCUCGACCUGCAAGGAGGAGCACCGGUACUGGAGAUGCGGCUGCUGCUGCCAGGUCUGCACGACGUGGAGGUCCUGCAGAUGCGGUUGCUGCUCUGGCGGGCGAGGGGGAGUUCAAGCUGCCGGGCGACUUCAACUUCAUCUUCAUCUGCAGAUCAGGCGCGUACGAUUCGCUUGAUUCGGGUGGGAACAUUACAAUCAAGUGGGCACUGGAAUGAUCAUGUGAUGCACUGUUUGAAGUUAAGACUAAUUCAGUUCAGUCUGUUUGAAGCUAAGACAAAUUUCCUUGGCAUUUCACUAGAUGUGGUGUUAAUGGCCUGAAGAUUUUAUCAGAUUAUCCACCAUUCAUCCUGCAACCGGACUGGCAAAUACUGCUGAAUAUGUUCAGAUGCAGAAAUUGGAACAAAGGAAAACAUCACAUGCUCCGACCAGAUUAAUUUCCAACUUAGCUGGAUGCCUAGUUAUGGGAAUCGACCAGAUUAAUUUCCAACUCAGCUAGAUCCUUGCUAUGGAGACAGAGGAGUCGUAGGUUGGGCAUCGCCCCCUCCUCAAAUCCCAGGUACGCCAUAACAUCUCCUUGUCUCCCCUAUCAGUUCAGUUCAGUCUGUUUGAAGCUAAGAUCAAUUCAGUGCAUGCCCCUAUCGCUACAGAAGUGCACAUCAGCUUUCUCAUUCUUACAUGAGCAAAUUUCAUGAAAAGAAUCUUCUAUGGGAACACAUCGAUUUGGUUUUUUUUUCAAAUGCAGGAGUACUAUGGAUUACAGAAGAAUUGAUUUGUAAGAUUGCCCACAAGUGAUAUUGUGCAGAAAAUUGUGAAAUUAGUCUGACUUCUACUGUACAGAAGAAUUGAUUUGUAAGAUUGCACACAAGAAUUGAUCUGAGUUCUGCUGUUGUGCAAGGGGAGAGGCGAGGAGAACCUGCUUGGAAGCAACGUGUUGCGGCGGCGGGGACGAGCUAGGUGGGAUGGGCGCGGCGAGGACCAAUCUGGGGCGGCGACGACCAAGCUGGGCGGGGGCGGCUACCAAGCAGGCACAGCGGCGGCCAAGCUGGGCGGGCGCGGCAGCAACCAAGCGGGCGCAGAGGAGGCCGAACUGGGCACCUGGGAUCGGGACCGAGUGCCUGCAGGCGGGGCCCGCGCGCUUGGACGAAGGGGAUGACGCGAGCUCCUGCAGGAGGAAGACGGGACGCUGGAGAAGGAAGACGGGCGAGCUCCUGUAGGAAGAAGACGACGCGAGCUCUGGAGGAGGAAGACGACUCAAAUUUCAAAUCGAGGGUAAAACUGUCCAUUUCCCCAUUUGUCGGCUAUGUCUGAAAAUUGUAAACGCUCUUAUAAAAGUUUACAGAGGGAGUAUUUCGCAUUCCUUUUGAAAGCAUUACUAAUAAUGUUUUAUUUCGUUCCUCACAAAAUAUAUUUUAUUUUGAGAUUGUCAAGAAAAAAAGUGUAAUUUUGAAAAC
RNAcentral lists this ribosomal RNA (1857 nucleotides) under Triticum aestivum (bread wheat). Its description in RNAcentral is "partial small subunit ribosomal RNA". Lineage: Eukaryota; Viridiplantae; Streptophyta; Magnoliopsida; Poales; Poaceae. The record is from RNAcentral.